This 301-nucleotide ribosomal RNA is filed under the name uncultured bacterium. Its description in RNAcentral is "partial 16S ribosomal RNA". It matches the Rfam family "Bacterial small subunit ribosomal RNA", at positions 509 to 807 of the family's 1533-position model. The record is from RNAcentral.
CAGCAGCCACGGGAACACGGAGGAUCCAAGCGUUAUCCGGAAUCAUUGGGUUUAAAGGGUCCGUAGGCGGUCUUGUAAGUCAGUGGUGAAAGCCCAUCGCUCAACGGUGGAACGGCCAUUGAUACUGCAGGACUUGAAUUAUUGGGAAGUAACUAGAAUAUGUAGUGUAGCGGUGAAAUGCUUAGAGAUUACAUGGAAUACCAAUUGCGAAGGCAGGUUACUACCAAUUGAUUGACGCUGAUGGACGAAAGCGUGGGUAGCGAACAGGAUUAGAUACCCGCGUAGUCCCUGUCUCUUAUAC